RNAcentral lists this ribosomal RNA (427 nucleotides) under uncultured prokaryote. RNAcentral's name for it is "bacterial SSU rRNA". It matches the Rfam family "Bacterial small subunit ribosomal RNA", at positions 355 to 774 of the family's 1533-position model. The record is from RNAcentral.
UGGGGAAUAUUGCGCAAUGAACGAAAGUUUGACGCAGCGACGCCGCGUGAGGGACGAAGGUCUUCGGAUCGUAAACCUCUGUCAGAAGGGAAGAAGUGUAGGGGGAGUAACUGUCCUCUACUUGACGGUACCUUCAGAGGAAGCACCGGCUAACUCCGUGCCAGCAGCCGCGGCAAUACGGAGGGUGCGAGCGUUAAUCGGAAUUACUGGGCGUAAAGCGCGCGUAGGCGGCUUUGUAAGUCAGGGGUGAAAUCCCACGGCUCAACCGUGGCAUUGCCUUUGAUACUGCAGAGCUUGAGUUCGGGAGAGGGUGGUGGAAUUCCAGGUGUAGGAGUGAAAUCCGUAGAGAUCUGGAGGAACAUCAGUGGCGAAGGCGACCACCUGGCCCGAUACUGACGCUGAGGUGCGAAAGCGUGGGUAGCAAACA